AUACCGACCUCCAACGCCUUUCGUCCCUCUUUUUUUCCUAUCUUCUUCUUGUUUUUUUUUUUUACAGACUCCCUCAUUCUAAGUGCCGCAAGGAGUUUAUAGAAGUCUACAUACAUAGACAGCAAAAGUGUGUACUGUAUCUGUAUUUUUAUCUAUAUGAGGGGCGCGUGCGAGCGCGUGACUCGAACUUCAUCCGUGACUCAAAGGAGAAAAAGAGCGAAACCCACCUUUUCCAAGUUGGGCCUGGCUUAUUUAUUUUCUUUCCGUCUACACUCCCUGCUCUUUUUCUUUUCGAUUGCUUUUGAUUCUUACCUUUUCUGGUCAUCGUUUACCUAUAUAUUUUUUUUUAUUUACUUCUUCCUUUGCCCGCUCACUCACGAAUGCUGUUACGAAUUGAACGUUGAGCGUGAGUUGGUGUGUCGUAGCCAUUACACCGGCGAUUUCCAUGGCGCUUGAAUUUUUAUUGCUCCGCAUCGACUGUUGUUUAACUGCGAUCGAUUCCGUACCUGCAGGAUGUGUGCGACCGAUGCAACGAAGCCGCGUGACUGAUGGAGGGUUUCGCGCGAAGGCAAGAUGUCGGCAUAGCUGACGUGCUAAUCCGAGUGUAGCUGUGUUACAUCGUGCCAACGUGAACUCCCUAUGACUUCAUAAUACCCCGCUGUCGUCCACAUAAUUUUUUUUUGUAUCCACCUUAUGUUUUUUUCUUUCUUUGUUCUUUUCGGCUUUUUCCUCUUUCCAUUCUUUUCCUUGUUUCUCUUUUUGCUUCGUUUUUAUUCAUUUUCUAGCGUUUCACUGAUGACUGUUUCUGUUUUUUUUUCCUCGAGGUGGGCGGAUGCUACAUCAUAAUCCUUCCUCGUUCGUCUACCAUAUUCUUGUGUACGCGCAUCCGCCCGUUUGACUCGUUGAUUAACGAAGUCUUUGUCUCCGUUGCGACACUCAAUCUCUGGUCCUCUCGUCUUCUGUUGGUGUUGAAUUCAUUCCAUGCGUACCUGAACCUUCCUCCUCCUCCAUCUUUUCGCUUAUUUUUCAUCUCUCUCUCUUCCUCUCUUCUGCCGGCCUUCGGGGCUGGCCGGGCGUGAUGUCAAUGAACGAUUCGCGAUUCGCAUCGCUAUGUUCUGACAUGAUGAGCCGUGCGAUGACGCCAUCCUUUUUUUUCAUUCGUUUUGUUUUGUUGGGUCUACCCAACAACAUUCCACACGCUGCUGCGCCGGCCGCCCUAGACGACGACGAUGGACAGAGUGAGCUUAUUGUAACCAAAAAAAAAAAAAAAAGGCAGGUAAACUGUACUCAGGCACGUAACAACAAAUAGUUUUCAGUGUUGCCUUUUCCCUUACCCCGCUGUGAGGAAGGAUCGGAAGUUCGCAUUCAGCGGAGCCCAGCUGGGCAAUGUCUCGAUUUUGCCGUGCCGUGCCGUACCACACUGUGUUGUUGUAAUUUUUUUUCUCUUUUUUGUUUAGUUGAUUCACCGCCUCAUUUAAUGGUGGAUGUUGGAGUACCGCCUAUAGCUUUACACGCCCUGAAAAAAAAGUCAACAAUUCUGCCGGCUGGCACUCCUGGGACCUCAUGUGUGUGUAUGGCCGUUGCUUUUUGGCCAGCAACCGCAAUGGCAAAAUUGGGCGGGUGCCUUUGGCUUAUUUCUCUCGCUAUGCAACAUGGCCGAAGAAACGUGAUACGUCGAUUCAUUUUCUUUUCAAACGUGUUUUUCUUUUUCUUUUCGAACCUUUUAGCUUCUCCCUUUUCGACGUUGCCGUGAUAUCAGUUUCCUGUUAGCGACCUCCCCCUCUCACUCACAACAUCGUCUGUUUUCUUUUCUUCAUUCUUUUUUUUUUUUAAGCAAUUCUUUCUUUCACCGUACAGCCAGCCAUCAUCAUCAUCAUCACUCAAACUACGCUGCUCCGUUCGAGGCUGAGGUCGUGUAACACAUUGCCCACCCCCAAGUCUAGGUGGAAAAUUAUGAAUGAUAAUCACCCGAAGGUCAUGCCGCACAUUUGUAGUUCCUUGACCAUCUACGACCGAUUCAUCCACAGCAGACGUAUUAGGCGGAGGAGCCAUUAGGUCGCCAUGUUCAACGCAUUGAAAACGGGUCUUGGACGAUCAUCAACCACCGAUAAUCAACAAAGAACGUCGAUGCUGUCACGGCAUUCAAUCAGUGCAGCAAAUCACGUUGGAGGAUUCUCUAAUGUUGUAGUGUCGGUGCAUAUCGUUAUUCUACUGGGAAAAAAAAAAAGACUUUCCUCGCCGUUGGAAAACAGAAAGAGAAAUUCUUAGAUCGUCGCAUCCAUUCAUAAUCGAUCGUUGGGAUAAACAUUGCCAGCAACAGCGUCAAAUUCCAGCUGUAGUGUUUGCUGGAGCUGCAUCAUCGUGAACAGAGUUAUGUCUAUGGAAGCUUGUCCAUUCGUCAUGCAGCAGUGUUGCCUGGGCAUUAACCAUAUGAAAAAUGAGAUUUGCGGCCGUCCUUGCCCAAAGAAGAGGAAUAUCCUCCAAGAUUACUUUGGCUGACAAAGGCGUUGCAGUCAAAAGCAAAACAAAUGAAAGAGGCCAACCUUUUUGCACGUUUCGGGCUGCCGUGACGAAUAAAUCGUUUCUCCUAUCGCUGAUGCAGUCAUCCUACUCGAGGCGGAGGAUUGCCAAUGGCCAAUAGCAGCGAGACGUCCCCAAUCACGAUCCAUGUACGUCCUGUUCUUUGGAAGUUUAAAAAGAAAAAAUAGAAAAUUUUCUAAUCGGCCACUGGAUGUAUAUUUUCUUUUUAUUUCUUGUUUUUAUACCCGUUGUUUGGGCACUGCUCAGUCCAAUGAUCAAGUUGAGGAUCCCAGUUUAGCAAGUGCAUUAGCGUAACACAUGCCUGUAGCUGUGUUAAAUUAAUCAUAUUUUCAGAUCUUCUUCAUUGCGCAAGCCGUUCACCGUUUUGAAUCAAGUAAUAAUAAUAAUUAACUGCUGAAUAACUGACGCGUGCUUUGACGUGUAAAGCAAUCCAAUUGUGUAUCAUUUACAAACGCCAAUGGGCAUUCUCUUUUCCUGAAGGAAAGGGAAAAAAAAUUAAAAAAAAGGCUAAAUUAGAAAAAUAUACAAAUAAAAUAC
Long non-coding RNA from Daphnia carinata, 3078 nucleotides. RefSeq lists it as uncharacterized. The transcript is spliced from 2 exons. The record is from RefSeq and is a predicted model, not a curated record. Lineage: Eukaryota; Metazoa; Arthropoda; Branchiopoda; Diplostraca; Daphniidae.